GAUGAACGCUGGCCGCGUGUCUAAUAUCUGCACGUCGAGCGAACAGACGAGGAGCUUGCUCCUCUGACGUUAGCGGCGGACGGGUGAGUAACACGUGGAUAAACUACCUAUUAGACUGGGAUUAGUUCGGGAAUCAGGAGCCAAUACCGGAUCAUAUAUUCAACUGCAUGGUUCAUUAGUGCUAGACGGUUUUGCUGUCUGUUAUAGAUGGAUCCGCGCCGCAUUAGUUAGUUCGUAAGGUAACCGCGUACCAAGGCCACGAUUCGUACCCGACCUAGGAGCGUGAACGGCCACACAAGAUCCAAGACACGGUCCAGACGCCCACAGGAUGCAGCAGUAGGGAAUCUUCCGAAAUGGGCGAAAGCCUGACCCAGCAACACCGCGUGAGUGAUCAAGGUCUACGCUUCGUAAAGCUUCUUUAUUAUGAAAAAACAAAUGUCUAAGUAACUAGGCACGUCUUGACGGUACCUAAACAAAAAGCCACGGCUAACUUCGUG
This 497-nucleotide ribosomal RNA is filed under the name uncultured bacterium. Its description in RNAcentral is "partial 16S ribosomal RNA". It matches the Rfam family "Bacterial small subunit ribosomal RNA", at positions 28 to 507 of the family's 1533-position model. The record is from RNAcentral.